This is a non-coding RNA of Paramuricea clavata, 564 nucleotides long. The record is from the annotation of a GenBank genome assembly. Lineage: Eukaryota; Metazoa; Cnidaria; Anthozoa; Malacalcyonacea; Plexauridae.
UCCAAUGUUUCCGGAUUUAUUUUAGAUGAGUUUCCCGUUUGUAAUGUGAAUUCUGCUAUUGACAAUACACCCUUUCGAUAAUUACGUCGCAACUACACUGUCUUCAACUUAGGACCACCUUAAAUGGAAAGGAUUUCAAGUGUUUUUUUCUCAUGGGCUAUGCAAAGAGAAGCAGGACAUCUUUCUUCAACACAUUCGCGGAAAAAUAUUCUGGAUUUUGAUCAAUAAAUAUGGAAAUAAAAAAAAAGUAAACGAGGCUCCAGGUCAUGACCUGGAGCCUCGUUUUCGUGUUAAAGCUUAUUUCCAUAUUUAUUGGUCAAAAUAAAGAAUAAUUUUUCGCGCAUGUGUUGAAGAAGGAUGUUCUUCUUAUCUGCGGAAAAUUUUUUUAUAUAUGUCCAGAAAUUGUUUUUGUGUUGAUUUCUCUCUCUCUCCUCCCCCUCUCCCUCUCCCGCCGGGUGGCCAACAAUUUUGUGGAAAGAAAUAUUAAUUAGUGGUUGAAAAGUUAGAUAUUUUCAGGUAAAAUUAUGAACUAUAGGUUAAAAUCAGGUAGAUUUUUGUUGCUCA